CCAGCAGCCGCGGUAAUACGUAGGUGGCAAGCGUUAUCCGGAUUUAUUGGGCGUAAAGGGAACGCAGGCGGUCUUUUAAGUCUGAUGUGAAAGCCUUCGGCUUAACCGGAGUAGUGCAUUGGAAACUGGGGAACUUGAGUGCAGGAGAGGAGAGUGGAAUUCCUAGUGUAGCGGUGAAAUGCGUAGAUAUUAGGAGGAACACCAGUGGCGAAAGCGGCUCUCUGGUCUGUAACUGACGCUGAGGUUCGAAAGCGUGGGUAGCA
RNAcentral lists this ribosomal RNA (263 nucleotides) under uncultured bacterium. RNAcentral describes it as "partial 16S ribosomal RNA". It matches the Rfam family "Bacterial small subunit ribosomal RNA", at positions 508 to 770 of the family's 1533-position model. The record is from RNAcentral.